Molecule: long non-coding RNA, 499 nt
Filed under: Actinidia chinensis (golden kiwifruit)
Lineage: Eukaryota; Viridiplantae; Streptophyta; Magnoliopsida; Ericales; Actinidiaceae
Description: long non-coding RNA (ACHI_LNC009636)
Source: RNAcentral
AAAUGUUGUAGUCGGCUAGAUGGUAGCAUCAAACUCUUGGGGUGCACUUUCUCUUUCUAGAAUGCUCUCAAGGGUCUGUGAACAAUAAUGACAAAAGGAAGACAAACAGACCUCAAUAAGGAAGGAGAACGAGCGGGAAGGAAGCCAAAACGUGUCCUAGUGGGUCUGUGGUUUCACACACAGGAAACCGUCCCCCUGAGCAAAUGAAAAGGGAACGCGUGACAGUCACCAAGAUACGCGUCCCCACCAAACGAUCCUUAGGGGUAAGUGGGGGAUCUCGGCACCAGUGCUCAAACUGAGCUUGCGGACUAAUCAGACCUAGACACGUGACUCAAAUAGUACAAUGAAGUGACAAAUUUAAACAAGAGGAAAGCAGCUAGCAAGCAUUAGCGUGCCCACCAAGCUUCGGGCUCAAAAUAAGAACACGUCCAAUUCACAUAAUCUCAACAACUAUUGACCCAGCUCAUGCGAACUGAGGAACAAUUGUAAGGGAACAAAA